This 480-nucleotide ribosomal RNA is filed under the name uncultured bacterium. RNAcentral's name for it is "bacterial SSU rRNA". It matches the Rfam family "Bacterial small subunit ribosomal RNA", at positions 29 to 526 of the family's 1533-position model. The record is from RNAcentral.
AAUGAACGUUGGCGGCGUGGAUUAGGCAUGCAAGUCGUACGGGAGUAGCAAUACUCUAGUGGCGAAAGGGAUAGGACAAUAUAGAUCAUCUGCCCUUAGGACGUGGAUAUACGCGGGAAACUGCGGGUAAUACACGAUAAUCUCUACGGAGCAAAGGUGUGAUUCCGCCUGGGGAUGAGUCUAUAGCCUAUUAGUUAGUUGGCGGGGUAAUGGCCCACCAAGACUAUGAUGGGUACGAGGCGUGAGAGCGUGUCCUCGAUCACUGGGACUGAGACACUGCCCAGACACCUACGGGUGGCUGCAGUCGAGAAUCUUCGGCAAUGGACGAAAGUCUGACCGAGCGACGCCGCGUGAGCGAUGAAGGUCUUCGGAUUGUAAAGCUCUGUAAGUUGGGAGGAAAUGUAAGGGGGUUCUCCCCUUUACUUGACCUAUCUUCAAAGUAAGGACGGGCUAAGUUCGUGCCAGCAGCCGCGGUAAAAC